This 882-nucleotide long non-coding RNA is filed under the name Lytechinus variegatus (green sea urchin). RNAcentral's name for it is "uncharacterized LOC121408097, transcript variant X3". Lineage: Eukaryota; Metazoa; Echinodermata; Echinoidea; Temnopleuroida; Toxopneustidae. The record is from RNAcentral.
AUAUGCAUGCUCGAGCGCAUGAUAAACAACGUGUUGGACGAGUUAUUGUUUUAAAGAAGUUUUGUUUAACUUUCAAGCUUGUUGUCUGCCAUACCGGAAAUUUUGGAGCCUGUGUCUCUGUCUCUGAGACUGAGAGUAAAACUGUUGUAGCGUGAGGACUAAAGUCGUUAAUUAUAUUAGGCCUAAUUAGGGUCUUUUGACAUCUUGAUCUUGCCUACUGCCUACGCCGUAGCCGUCGUCACGGCCUUCGCUGUAUUCGUACGUGUGUUAACUGUUCAUUGUUUACAUGUACAUCAGUUCAGUUGAAAUUGAAGACUUCUUCAAAGCCAAGUUUCAGUUUUUGUCAACUCAAGGAGCAUUUGCAGCCUCAUUUGUGUGUAAUUUCAGAGUCUCAUCUUGAGGCAAUUCAGCGAAGGCUUGCGCUGAAGGUGUUUAUAUUGUUAUUUCUGUGUACAGUUAUUUCAGAGGGCAGAAGGCCAUUUCUUGGAGGUAGUUAAAUUGUUAUUACAGCUCCAUAUCACUCAUCUCAUACCAUUUCACCUUCACCCUCAGAUCCUUUAGACGUAAAGGUGCGAGAAGUAAGAAACUCAUUUAGAACCUCAUCCUAAACUUCAUAUUCAUAACAUUUCAUUCAUACCAUACCAUUUCAUUUUCACCCUCUCACCUUUAGACGUAAAGGUGAGAGACAAAACGAACUCAUUUAGAACCUCAGAAACUUCAUUUUAAACUUUCAUCGAAAUUUCAUCUGGAAGUCUGUCUACCAAUUCACGACAAUAACCCUUGCAUUUAGAGGCUUGGGUGAGUCACAAGGAAUUGGGGAUAGCAACGAACAAACAGAACUUUUAAACACAUAAUUCUUUUAAACACAUAAUUCUUUUAAAC